This 469-nucleotide ribosomal RNA is filed under the name uncultured bacterium. RNAcentral describes it as "SSU rRNA". It matches the Rfam family "Bacterial small subunit ribosomal RNA", at positions 26 to 518 of the family's 1533-position model. The record is from RNAcentral.
AGAACGAACGCUGGCGGCAUGCCUAACACAUGCAAGUCGAACGCUCCUGGGGCUUCGGUCUCAGGGGAGUGGCGCACGGGUGAGUAGCGCGUGGGAACCUGCCCUGUUGUGGGGGAUAACCGAGGGAAACUUCGGCUAAUACCGCAUAAGCCGGUUGUCUUGAAAGAGAUGGCCGGGAAAGAUUUAUCGCGACAGGAGGGGCCCGCGUCGGAUUAGCUAGUUGGUGGGGUAACGGCCCACCAAGGCAGUGAUCCGUAGCUGGUCUGAGAGGAUGAUCAGCCACACUGGGACUGAGACACGGCCCAGACUCCUACGGGAGGCAGCAGUGGGGAAUAUUGGACAAUGGGCGCAAGCCUGAUCCAGCAAUGCCGCGUGAGUGAUGAAGGCCUUAGGGUGUAAAGCUCUUUCGCCGCGACGAUGAUGACGGUAGCGGGAGAAGAAGCCCGGCUAACUUCGUGCCAGCAGCCGC